CAUAAACUUUGUUCCAUAAUCUUAGACACCAUAACAUAGCUAAGGGUAGCAAUACGGCUGACAACAAGACAAUGUCAGCUUCCACAUAGUUCUUAAUCCUUCUAUUUGCUGGAUGUUCACCACAAUACUCUGUGCAACACCCCAAUUGUUGAAAGGGUAAUACAGAAAUAGCGGCAUUAGACAGCACUGCAUCUUCAGGACAUUCCAAGUUAGUUUAUGUCCUCAUAAGUAAGCAUCUCAGUUUCUUCGGCCAGCAUGGUUUUUGACCAAACAGAUUUAAUUGUAAAAAAGGUAGAUAGGCAGGUAGUUCAGCCAGAGAGAUUGGUGUGUAGUCCCAAAUAUCAGGCGGCACAAAUACUCCAGUACGGUCUCUAUAAUCAUACAAACACAAGGAUCAGUACGACAUCAAUAAAUUAAUUAUCUAGGCUAAACUCAAAUUAGAGACUAAAGUUAAACUCUUAACUAGUGUAACA
RNAcentral lists this long non-coding RNA (473 nucleotides) under Pelobates cultripes (western spadefoot toad). The record is from RNAcentral. Lineage: Eukaryota; Metazoa; Chordata; Amphibia; Anura; Pelobatidae.